AGGUUGAUAGGUCUGAGGUGGAAGUGUGGCGACACAUGGAGCUGACAGAUACUAAUCGAUCGAGGACUUAACCUAAUA
RNAcentral lists this ribosomal RNA (78 nucleotides) under Bacillus licheniformis. RNAcentral describes it as "partial 23S ribosomal RNA". Lineage: Bacteria; Bacillati; Bacillota; Bacilli; Caryophanales; Bacillaceae. The record is from RNAcentral.